UUGUAUGACCAAAACACAGAUGAGAAAAAAGAACUUACAAGAAUCUUUGCAGUCAAGGAUUUAGAAGGGACUCUAGAGGACAGGACAUUAAGUGAAACUUCAGCAGCUGCAUGCUCAGCUUGUCUGAGAGUGGAACAGUAAGUGGGACUCUCAAAUAUCUCACCAUUGAAGUUAACAGAAGCUUUGAAUCUUGGAGCAUGAUCUGGUCCUUCUCUUAUGCAAGUAUAUGAUGGUCUAAAAGAGAAGACAAAAGGAAAAACCUACCUGCUGAAUUUUUGGUAUCUAAGGUUUGGCUAGUUAGUGUUGAAAGUAUGAUCUAAAAGAGGGACUUUUUUUGCAGAGGUUUUUGAGCUCUCUGCUCACAUGGUAAGGUUCUAAAUAAAAAGGAAGCUAGAGGAAGAUAAAAACAGUAAUAGUGUCAUUUCAACUGAAACAUAGUUCAUCUUUUUAUAUAAUUUCAUAACAUGUGCAUACAAAAUAACACUAAUGAAUGAACUAGCCCUAGUAUUGACUUUCUUUAUUGUCUU
Brassica napus (rape) is the source of this 527-nucleotide long non-coding RNA. RefSeq lists it as uncharacterized. The record is from RefSeq and is a predicted model, not a curated record. Lineage: Eukaryota; Viridiplantae; Streptophyta; Magnoliopsida; Brassicales; Brassicaceae. The transcript is spliced from 2 exons.